RNAcentral lists this ribosomal RNA (427 nucleotides) under uncultured bacterium. RNAcentral's name for it is "partial 16S ribosomal RNA". It matches the Rfam family "Bacterial small subunit ribosomal RNA", at positions 355 to 774 of the family's 1533-position model. The record is from RNAcentral.
UGGGGAAUAUUGCACAAUGGGCGCAAGCCUGAUGCAGCCAUGCCGCGUGUAUGAAGAAGGCCUUCGGGUUGUAAAGUACUUUCAGCGAGGAGGAAGGCGUUGUGGUUAAUAACCGCAGCGAUUGACGUUACUCGCAGAAGAAGCACCGGCUAACUCCGUGCCAGCAGCCGCGGGAAUACGGAGGGUGCAAGCGUUAAUCGGAAUUAGUGGGCGUAAAGCGCACGCAGGCGGUCUGUCAAGUCGGAUGUGAAAUCCCCGGGCUCAACCUGGGAACUGCAUCCGAAACUGGCAGGCUAGAGUCUUGUAGAGGGGGGUAGAAUUCCAGGUGUAGCGGUGAAAUGCGUAGAGAUCUGGAGGAAUACCGGUGGCGAAGGCGGCCCCCUGGACAAAGACUGACGCUCAGGUGCGAAAGCGUGGGGAGCAAACA